Non-coding RNA from Leptonychotes weddellii (Weddell seal), 217 nucleotides. Lineage: Eukaryota; Metazoa; Chordata; Mammalia; Carnivora; Phocidae. The record is from RefSeq and is a predicted model, not a curated record.
CUCCUGAGAGGUGUGCCUGUCACCAGAGUUGCCCGGAGGCCAAUGGGACAGCCUUGCCAGUUCUCCUUCCCCUAUAGCCCUGGGAACUUUCACUCAGGCCAGCCCUGGAUUCUUCUUCACUUUCACACUUAAUGAUCUGAAAACAUGGACAAGUUUCAUACUGAAGUGAAGAUCUACUGAAAGUGAUGGGUAUAUGAGGACCAGACUCUGCUCUCAA